Molecule: unclassified non-coding RNA, 393 nt
Filed under: soil metagenome
Description: partial contains 5.8S ribosomal RNA, internal transcribed spacer 2, and large subunit ribosomal RNA
Rfam family: 5.8S ribosomal RNA (bases 1-122)
Source: RNAcentral
GAUGAAGAACGUAGCGAAAUGCGAUACUUGGUGUGAAUUGCAGAAUCCCGUGAACCAUCGAGUCUUUGAACGCAAGUUGUGCCCGAAGCCACUAGGCCGAGGGCACGCCUGCCUGGGUGUCACACGUCGUUGCCCCCCCCCCAUCUACUCCUUCGGGAUUGCGGGGGGCGGAUGAUGGCCUCCCGUGCGCCUAGCCGCGCGGUUGGCAUAAAUACCAAGUCCUCGGCGACGCACGCCACGACAAUCGGUGGUUGCGAAACCUCGGUUGCCCGUCGUGUGCGUUCGUCGCGCAUCGAGGGCUCGAAAAAAUGCUCGGCUCCGGCUCGGCUUUCAACGCGACCCCAGGUCAGGCGGGGUUACCCGCUGAAUUUAAGCAUAUCAAUAAGCGGAGGA